Molecule: ribosomal RNA, 466 nt
Filed under: uncultured bacterium
Lineage: Bacteria
Description: partial 16S ribosomal RNA
Rfam family: Bacterial small subunit ribosomal RNA
Source: RNAcentral
GACGAACGCUGGCGGCGUGCUUAACACAUGCAAGUCGAACGGUAAGGCUCCAGCUUGCUGGGGUACACGAGUGGCGAACGGGUGAGUAACACGUGGGUGACUUGCCCUGCACUUCGGGAUAAGCCUGGGAAACUGGGUCUAAUACCGGAUAGGACCAUGGUGUGGAUACUGUGGUGGAAAGUUUUUUCGGUGUGGGAUGGGCCCGCGGCCUAUCAGCUUGUUGGUGGGGUAAUGGCCUACCAAGGCGGCGACGGGUAGCCGGCCUGAGAGGGUGGACGGCCACAUUGGGACUGAGACACGGCCCAGACUCCUACGGGAGGCAGCAGUGGGGAAUAUUGCACAAUGGGCGGAAGCCUGAUGCAGCGACGCCGCGUGGGGGAUGACGGCCUUCGGGUUGUAAACUCCUUUCACCAUCGACGAAGGGUUUCUGACGGUAGAUGGAGAAGAAGCACCGGCUAACUACGUG